Long non-coding RNA from Carassius auratus (goldfish), 699 nucleotides. RefSeq lists it as uncharacterized. Lineage: Eukaryota; Metazoa; Chordata; Actinopteri; Cypriniformes; Cyprinidae. The transcript has 6 exons. The record is from RefSeq and is a predicted model, not a curated record.
GGAGAGGACUCGUCUGACAUUUUCUCUGUUUCUCGUCAGUUAUACCAAAGAAAAGGCCAACAACUGCGACAGAUUUUGAUUUCAGGAGUGUCUUAAAAACCCUCUAAAACAGAGGAGAAGUUCCAAGAAAAUGUCUAACGGGAGCUGCUGACAGAGAUAGAAAACACAGGAGCUGGAGGCCGUGAAGAUACAGAUCCAUGAUAUUGUGGAGAAGCAGGCCCAGCUGAGCGAGUGGAGAGCUGUGCUGGAAAUAUUCAGGGGUUGAUGCUCAUAAGUCCAGGUGUAAGACAUGAUCCAGGCCCUGGGCGACGACCUCUCUCCAUCCGCCGCCUCCGGUCUUCAGGAUCUCCACCAGAACCCGAUUCGCUCCACUUCGCGAGACAGAACAAAACGCUGUGAUCAUCAGAGACUCCAUCGUCCGGCACGUUUGCGCUAUGUUAGCUGAAGGAGCUGGAGGCCGUGAAGAUACAGAUCCAUGAUAUUGUGGAGAAGCAGGCCCAGCUGAGCGAGUGGAGAGCUGUGCUGGAAAUAUUCAGGGGUUGAUGCUCAUAAGUCCAGGUGUAAGACAUGAUCCAGGCCCUGGGCGAAGACCUCUCUCCAUCCGCCGCCUCCGGUCUUCAGGAUCUCCACCAGAACCCGAUUCGCUCCACUUCGCGAGACAGAACAAAACGCUGUGAUCAUCAGAGACUCCAUCGUCCG